UACAGAGGGUGCGAGCGUUAAUCGGAAUUACUGGGCGUAAAGCGAGUGUAGGUGGCUCAUUAAGUCACAUGUGAAAUCCCCGGGCUCAACCUGGGAACUGCAUGUGAUACUGGUGGUGCUAGAAUAUGUGAGAGGGAAGUAGAAUUCCAGGUGUAGCGGUGAAAUGCGUAGAGAUCUGGAGGAAUACCGAUGGCGAAGGCAGCUUCCUGGCAUAAUAUUGACACUGAGAUUCGAAAGCGUGGGUAGCAAACAGG
Molecule: ribosomal RNA, 254 nt
Filed under: uncultured bacterium
Lineage: Bacteria
Description: partial 16S ribosomal RNA
Rfam family: Bacterial small subunit ribosomal RNA
Source: RNAcentral